RNAcentral lists this non-coding RNA (239 nucleotides) under Candidatus Scalindua. The record is from RNAcentral. RNAcentral also lists the same sequence under 1 other name. Lineage: Bacteria; Pseudomonadati; Planctomycetota; Candidatus Brocadiia; Candidatus Brocadiales; Candidatus Scalinduaceae.
AAUUUGAAUCCGUUUACGGGUGCUCGCAUAUAGCAACCCGCUAGUUGCGACAUAAUAGGGAAGCCCCUUAAAAAGGGCACGGACCCGCCGCUGUAAUCGGUGACGAACACUGCAUGUCUUGAGUUUAAUUCAAGACAAAAGCCACUGUCCCGCUCUUUCUUAGGAAAGAGCGGGAUGGGAAGGCGCAGCCAUUAGGAUGACCCGACAGUCAGAAGACCUGCCCGUAAAUGCUUCACAUU